Molecule: ribosomal RNA, 829 nt
Filed under: Nonomuraea sp. IM-7031
Lineage: Bacteria; Bacillati; Actinomycetota; Actinomycetes; Streptosporangiales; Streptosporangiaceae
Description: bacterial SSU rRNA
Rfam family: Bacterial small subunit ribosomal RNA
Source: RNAcentral
GGCGGCGUGCUUAACACAUGCAAGUCGAGCGGAAAGGCCCUUCGGGGGUACUCGAGCGGCGAACGGGUGAGUAACACGUGAGCAACCUGCCCCUGACUCUGGGAUAAGCCCGGGAAACUGGGUCUAAUACCGGAUACGACCGCUCCGGCAUCGGGUGGUGGUGGAAAGUUUUUCGGUUGGGGAUGGGCUCGCGGCCUAUCAGCUUGUUGGUGGGGUAGUGGCCUACCAAGGCGACGACGGGUAGCCGGCCUGAGAGGGCGACCGGCCACACUGGGACUGAGACACGGCCCAGACUCCUACGGGAGGCAGCAGUGGGGAAUAUUGCGCAAUGGGCGGAAGCCUGAGCCAGCGACGCCGCGUGGGGGAUGACGGCCUUCGGGUUGUAAACCUCUUUCAGCAGGGACGAAGUUGACGUGUACCUGCAGAAGAAGCGCCGGCUAACUACGUGCCAGCAGCCGCGGUAAUACGUAGGGCGCAAGCGUUGUCCGGAAUUAUUGGGCGUAAAGAGCUCGUAGGUGGCUGGUCGCGUCUGCCGUGAAAGCCGCAGCUUAACUGCGGGUCUGCGGUGGAUACGGGCCGGCUAGAGGUAGGUAGGGGCAAGUGGAAUUCCUGGUGUAGCGGUGAAAUGCGCAGAUAUCAGGAGGAACACCGGUGGCGAAGGCGGCUUGCUGGGCCUUACCUGACGCUGAGGAGCGAAAGCGUGGGGAGCGAACAGGAUUAGAUACCCUGGUAGUCCACGCUGUAAACGUUGGGCGCUAGGUGUGGGGGUCUUCCACGAUUCCGUGCCGGACGUAACGCAUUAAGCGCCCCGCCUGGGGAGUACGGCCGC